RNAcentral lists this ribosomal RNA (790 nucleotides) under uncultured archaeon. Its description in RNAcentral is "bacterial SSU rRNA". It matches the Rfam family "Archaeal small subunit ribosomal RNA", at positions 55 to 853 of the family's 1478-position model. The record is from RNAcentral.
GAGUCAACGUAGCAAUACGUGGCAUACGGCUCAGUAACACGUAGUCAACAUGCCCAGGGGACGUGGAUAACCUCGGGAAACUGAGGAUAAACCGCGAUAGGUCAUAGUAUCUGGAAUGAUUUACGGCUCAAAUCUACAUGGCCUCUGGAUUGGACUGCGGCCGAUCAGGCUGUUGGUGAGGUAAUGGCCCACCAAACCUAAAACCGGUACGGGCUCUGAGAGGAGAAGCCCGGAGAUGGGCACUGAGACAAGGGCCCAGGCCCUAUGGGGCGCAGCAGGCGCGAAAACUCUGCAAUAAGCGAAAGCUUGACAGGGUUAUUCUGAGUGAUUUCCGCUAAGGAAAUCUUUUGGCACCUCUAAAAAUGGUGCAGAAUAAGGGGUGGGCAAGCCUGGUGUCAGCCGCCGCGGUAAUACCAGCACCCCGAGUGGUCGGGACGAUUAUUGGGCCUAAAGCAUCCGUAGCCGGUUCUACAAGUCUUCCGUUAAAUCCACCUGCUCAACAGAUGGGCUGCGGAGGAUACUAUAGAGCUAGGAGGCGGGAGAGGCAAGCGGUACUUAGUGGGUAGGGGUAAAAUCCGUUGAUCCAUUGAAGACCACCAAUGGCGAAGGCGGCUUGCCAGAACGCACUCGACGGUGAGGGAUGAAAGCUGGGGGAGCAAACCGGAUUAGAUACCCGGGUAGUCCCAGCUGUAAACGAUGCAGACUCGGUGAUGAAUAGGCUUCGUGCCUAUUCAGUGCCGCAGGGAAGCCGUUAAGUCUGCCGCCUGGGGAGUACGGUCGCAGGACUGAA